GCUGCUCGAAUGUUGUACAUCUCUCCGUGGUGGGCAGCAGGCAAUGUCAACUGUUUGAAAUGGCAGCUGAGAUAAAA
RNAcentral lists this ribozyme (77 nucleotides) under unclassified sequences. RNAcentral's name for it is "HDV ribozyme from F. prausnitzii". It matches the Rfam family "HDV ribozyme from F. prausnitzii". The record is from RNAcentral.